UCCGGAGGAUCCAAGCGUUAUCCGGAAUCAUUGGGUUUAAAGGGUCCGUAGGCGGUUUAGUAAGUCAGUGGUGAAAGCCCAUCGCUCAACGGUGGAACGGCCAUUGAUACUGCUAGACUUGAAUUAUUAGGAAGUAACUAGAAUAUGUAGUGUAGCGGUGAAAUGCUUAGAGAUUACAUGGAAUACCAAUUGCGAAGGCAGGUUACUACUAAUGGAUUGACGCUGAUGGACGAAAGCGUGGGUAGCGAACAGG
This 253-nucleotide ribosomal RNA is filed under the name uncultured bacterium. RNAcentral's name for it is "partial 16S ribosomal RNA". It matches the Rfam family "Bacterial small subunit ribosomal RNA", at positions 524 to 776 of the family's 1533-position model. The record is from RNAcentral.